UGUGUGCUCCGUGUGUGGAUGUACAUGUACAUGUGAGCGACCUGCAUGCAUGUGCACAUGUUCACAAGCAAGUGCACAUGUAUGUGAUUAUGUGUGCAUGUGUAUCUAUGUG
Molecule: microRNA precursor, 112 nt
Filed under: Octodon degus (degu)
Lineage: Eukaryota; Metazoa; Chordata; Mammalia; Rodentia; Octodontidae
Description: miRNA (ENSODEG00000022063.1)
Source: RNAcentral